Molecule: ribosomal RNA, 480 nt
Filed under: Stilbonema sp. associated bacterium 5
Lineage: Bacteria; Pseudomonadati; Bacteroidota
Description: bacterial SSU rRNA
Rfam family: Bacterial small subunit ribosomal RNA
Source: RNAcentral
AAAGGGUGUGUAGGCGGAUUAAUAAGUCAGUGGUGAAAUCCCAUAGCUUAACUAUGGAACUGCCAUUGAUACUGUUAAUCUUGAAUAAAGUCGAGGUAGGCGGAAUUGAUGGUGUAGCGGUGAAAUGCAUAGAUAUCAUCAAGAAGACCGAUUGCGUAGGCAGCUUACUAGACUUCUAUUGACGCUGAGGCACGAAAGCGUGGGGAGCGAACAGGAUUAGAUACCCUGGUAGUCCACGCCGUAAACGAUGAUGACUCGCUGUUGGCAAUAUAUCGCCAGUGGCCAAGCGAAAGCGUUAAGUCAUCCACCUGGGGAGUACGUCGGCAACGAUGAAACUCAAAGGAAUUGACGGGGGCCCGCACAAGCGGAGGAACAUGUGGUUUAAUUCGAUGAUACGCGAGGAACCUUACCCGGGCUUAAAUGCAUAUUGACAGCUUGAGAAAUCAAGCCUCUUCGGGCAAUUUGCAAAGGUGCUGCAUG